CCCCCCCCCCCCCCCCCCCCCCCCCCCCCCCCCCCCCCCCCCCCCACCCCCCCCCCCCCCCCCCCCCCCCCCCCCCCCCCCCCCCCCCCCCCCCCCCCCCCCCCCCCCCCCCCCCCCCCCCCCCCCCCCCCCCCCCCCCCCCCCCCCCCCCCCCCUUCCCCCCCCCCCCCCCCCCCCCCCCCCCCCCCCCCCCCCCCCCCCCCCCCCCCCCCCCCCCCCACCCCCCCCCCCCCUCCCCCCCCCCCCCCCCCCCCCCCCCCCCCCCUUCCCCCCCCCCCCCCCCCCCCCCCCCCGCCCCCCCCCCCCCCUCCCCCCCCCCCCCCCCCCCCCCCCCCCCCCCCCCCGUUCCCCCCCCCCCCCCCCGCCCCCCCCCCCCCCCCCCCCCACCCCCCCCCCCCCCCCCCCCCCCCCCCCCCCCCCCCCCGCCCCCCCCCCCCCCCCCCCCCCCCCCCCGCCCCCCCCCCCCCCCCCCCCCCCACCCCCCCCCCCCCCCCCCCCCCCCCCCCCCCCCCCCCCCCUCCCCCCCCCCCCCCCCCCCACCCCCCCCCCCCCCCCCCCCCCCCCCCCCCCCCCCCCCCCCCCCCUCCCCCCCCCCCCCCCCCCCGCCCCCCCCGCCCCUUUUUAUUCCCCCCCCCCCCCCCCCCCCCCCCCCCCCCCCCCCCACCCCCCACGCCCCCCCCCCCCCACCCCCCCCCCGCACCCCCCCCGCCCCCCCCCCCCCCCCCCCCCCCCCCCCCGCCCCCCCCCCCGCCCCCCACCCCCCCGCCCCCCCCCCCCCCCCGCCUCCCCCCCCCCCCGCCCCCCCCGUCCCCCCCCCCCUCCCCUUCUAUCCCCCCCCCCCCCCCCCCCCCCCCCCCCCCCCCCACCCCCCCCCCCCCCCCCCCCCCCCCCCCCCCCCGCCCACCCCCCCCCCGCCCCCCCCCCCCCCCCCCCCCCCCCCCUGAGAUUCCCCCCCCGACCCCCCCCCCCCCCCCCCCGCCUCCUUCCCCCCCCCCCUCCCUCCCCCCCCCCCCCGCCCCCCCCCGCCCCCCCCCCCCCCCCCCCCCCCCCCCCCCCCCCCCCUCCCCGCCCCCCCCCCCCCCCCCCCUCCCCCCCCCCCCCCCCCCCCCCCCACCCGCCCACCCCCCCCCCCCCCCCCCCCCCCCCCCCCCCACCCCCCCCCCCCCCCCCCCCCCCCCCCCCCCCCCCCCCCCUCCCCCCGCGCCCCCCCCCCCCCCCCCCCCCCCACCCCCCCCCCCCCCCCCCCCCCCCGUCCGCUCCACCCCCCCCACCCCCCCCCCCCCCCCCCCCCCCCCCCCCCCCCCCAAGCCCACUCCCCCCCCUCCCCCCCACCCACCCACCCUCCCCCCCCCCCCCUCUCCCCCCCCCUCCCCCCCCCCCCCCCCCCCCAGCCCACCCCGCCCCCCCCCCCCCCCCCCCCCCCCCCCCCACCACCCCCCGCGCCCCCCCCCCCCCCCCCCCCCCCCCCCCCCCCCCUCCCCCCCGCCCCCCCAGCCCCCCCCCCCUCCCCCCCCCCCCCCCC
RNAcentral lists this long non-coding RNA (1522 nucleotides) under Actinidia chinensis (golden kiwifruit). RNAcentral describes it as "long non-coding RNA (ACHI_LNC006790)". Lineage: Eukaryota; Viridiplantae; Streptophyta; Magnoliopsida; Ericales; Actinidiaceae. The record is from RNAcentral.